GCCGGGUGUGGUGACUCACACCUGUAAUCCCAGCACUCUGGGAGGCUGAGGCAGGAGGAUCGCUUGAGCCCAGGAGUUUGAGACCAGCCUGGGCAAGAUAGUGGGACCCUGUCUCUG
RNAcentral lists this non-coding RNA (117 nucleotides) under Pan troglodytes (chimpanzee). Lineage: Eukaryota; Metazoa; Chordata; Mammalia; Primates; Hominidae. The record is from Rfam by way of RNAcentral.